CUUCGUCAAAGCUAAAUCAUAGGCCAAAUCCUAUAUAUCUUA
This 42-nucleotide transfer RNA is filed under the name Macaca fascicularis (crab-eating macaque). RNAcentral describes it as "partial tRNA-Asp". The record is from RNAcentral. Lineage: Eukaryota; Metazoa; Chordata; Mammalia; Primates; Cercopithecidae.